CAGAGGGCGCGAGCGUUGUCCGGAAUCACUGGGCGUAAAGGGCGCGUAGGUGGCAGCAUAAGGCCGUGGUGAAAGCCCGGAGCUCAACUCCGGAUCUGCCGCGGCGACUGUGCAGCUUGGGCACUGUAGAGGCAGAUGGAAUUCCGGGUGUAGCGGUGGAAUGCGUAGAGAUCCGGAAGAACACCGGUGGCGAAGGCGAUCUGCUGGGCAGUGGACCGCAAGGUCCAAUAGCCGACACUGAGGCGCGACAGCGUGGGGAGCAAACAGGAUUAGAUACCCUGGUAGUCCACGCCGUAAACGAUGGGCACUAGGUGCUCCGGGGAGCGACCCUUGGAGUACCGGCGCUAACGCAUGAAGUGCCCCGCCUGGGGAGUACGGCCGCAAGGCUG
This 389-nucleotide ribosomal RNA is filed under the name uncultured organism. Its description in RNAcentral is "bacterial SSU rRNA". It matches the Rfam family "Bacterial small subunit ribosomal RNA", at positions 526 to 896 of the family's 1533-position model. The record is from RNAcentral.